RNAcentral lists this ribosomal RNA (468 nucleotides) under uncultured bacterium. RNAcentral's name for it is "partial 16S ribosomal RNA". It matches the Rfam family "Bacterial small subunit ribosomal RNA", at positions 28 to 507 of the family's 1533-position model. The record is from RNAcentral.
GACGAACGCUGGCGGCGUGCUUAACACAUGCAAGUCGAACGGAAAGGCCCUGCUUUUGUGGGGUGCUCGAGUGGCGAACGGGUGAGUAACACGUGAGUAACCUGCCCUUGACUUUGGGAUAACUUCAGGAAACUGGGGCUAAUACCGGAUAGGAGCUCCUGCUGCAUGGUGGGGGUUGGAAAGUUUCGGCGGUUGGGGAUGGACUCGCGGCUUAUCAGCUUGUUGGUGGGGUAGUGGCUUACCAAGGCUUUGACGGGUAGCCGGCCUGAGAGGGUGACCGGCCACAUUGGGACUGAGAUACGGCCCAGACUCCUACGGGAGGCAGCAGUGGGGAAUAUUGCACGAUGGGCGGAAGCCUGAUGCAGCAACGCCGCGUGCGGGAUGAAGGCCUUCGGGUUGUAAACCGCGUUCGCCUGUGACGAAGCGUGAGUGACGGUAAUGGGUAAAGAAGCACCGGCUAACUACGUG